CCUACGGGAGACAGCAGUGAGGAAUAUUGGUCAAUGGCCGAGAGGCUGAACCAGCCAAGUCGCGUGAGGGAAGACGGCCCUACGGGUUGUAAACCUCUUUUGUCGGGGAGCAAAGCGAGUCACGUGUGACUCAUUGAGAGUACCCGAAGAAAAAGCAUCGGCUAACUCCGUGCCAGCAGCCGCGGUAAUACGGAGGAUGCGAGCGUUAUCCGGAUUUAUUGGGUUUAAAGGGUGCGCAGGCGGAGGUGCAAGUCAGCGGUCAAAUUGCGGGGCUCAACCCCGUACUGCCGUUGAAACUGCAGCCCUUGAGUGCGCGAGAAGUAGGCGGAAUGCGUGGUGUAGCGGUGAAAUGCAUAGAUAUCACGCAGAACUCCGAUUGCGAAGGCAGCAUACCGGAGCGCAACUGACGCUCAUGCACGAAAGCGUGGGUAUCGAACAGGAUUAGAUACCCUAGUAGUC
RNAcentral lists this ribosomal RNA (459 nucleotides) under uncultured bacterium. RNAcentral describes it as "partial 16S ribosomal RNA". It matches the Rfam family "Bacterial small subunit ribosomal RNA", at positions 338 to 795 of the family's 1533-position model. The record is from RNAcentral.